AUUUUUAGGUAUUACGCCGGAUGAACGGAAAUCAUUGAUGUUGAUUAAUAUGGAAUAAGCUAUUUCU
RNAcentral lists this transfer RNA (67 nucleotides) under Euspira pila. RNAcentral describes it as "tRNA-Ile". Lineage: Eukaryota; Metazoa; Mollusca; Gastropoda; Littorinimorpha; Naticidae. The record is from RNAcentral.